AAGAGAGAGUGGGUGAAGCGGGCUAAGUACAGAGGCCGGUGCCCACAGCCCCACGGUUCCCAGCCAAGGCCCCACCAAGUGGCUGCCCAGCGCUGGGGCAGCCUGCCCCAGGUGCCCUGACAGGUGGCUGACGUCCCACCUGCAGGUGAUCUCGGGGGCGGAACCAGGCCGGAGGAGGGGCUUGGGCCAGCUCAUCUCAGGUGGCCAGCCACGCUGGAGCUGGGGCCCUCGGUGUGUGGUGGCCCUGGGAGAGCCACACCCCACUCCAGGUUUGAGGCUUCUACAGACCAGGAGGGGGCAGUGCCCUGAGGCAGUGGUGCCAUGCUCCCGCCUCCAUAAGCAUCCCCCAGGGGGUGUUCAGACAGACUGCAGCCUCUCCCCCCAGUUCUGAUUCAGCAGGUCAGGCUGGGACCCAGAACCUGCAUUGCCAACAUGUUCCCAGGUGGGGCUGCUGCUGGUCCGGGCCCCAGACGCCAUAGUUCUAGGAGUCUCUUCCACUUUCCGAUGCUAACAGGCUUCCCUGGGCUGGGGCAGGAGAGCGGGCAGUGUAUGCCCAGGGAAAGCCCGGCAGGCAGGCCACCUAGGGCGGCAAAACCUCCAUUUUCACCAUCUUCUGCCCCGGUGAUUCAUAGGACAGCCAAGACAGAGGUGGCGUUGACUUCAGGAUGGCUGAGGCCUGGCCACGCUGAGCACGGCCACCAGCAGGCAGAGGAAGCGUUGAUUUCGGGAUGGCCGAGGCCUGGGCACGCUGAGCGCCGCCCACUGGCAGGUGGUAAUGCCAGGACACUUGAUUAAUCAGAACCUGCAGCUGAACAAGCUUCUCGCGUGGUCUGAGGCUCCCUGAAGUCUGAGCAGCUCUGCCCAGGGCCAGCUGUGUGCGGGGAGGGUGGGAAAAUGCUCAAGGCGCUGGUGGGCAGGACUGGUGGUCACUGAGCCCCUCUGCACUAUCCAGAGAGCAGGGCCUGCAGAAAAGGCUUCCAGGUUAACUGAAGGGCCUGCAGCACAGACCUGCCCGAGACACCAGGAGGCCAAGCCAGCACCCUGUCUGCAGCAUUUUCUGCAGGGGGUGCGGGUGUAAGCCACUGGGCCUCCCCAUUCAUCUUAAGUCAAGGUCAGCCAGUGCCAAGGCAAGGCAGAAAGACCUGGGAUCCGUGGCUGAGAUUUCAGGGGCCUCAGCGGCUUAGAGCAGCAAGGAGGGCAUCCUCUACCUGCUAAAACCUGGACUGCCCUGCAGCCUCCUCCUGCUAACACUUGUGGGUCUUGCCCACGGCCCGGGGCAUGAAGCAGGUGAGGCCACAGUUGGGGGCUGGUGUCUGUCAUUUUAUUAGUGAACCGUGGGCGCUACCCCUGCUUCUGCCCGUUCCCCAUUCCCGGGGUCCCAGCCCCACUGUCAGACGGAGAGAUCCAGCCGGGGCCAGGGCCACGCGGUCUCUGGAAGAUGACGGAUAAAUGACUUCUGCAGUUAUCACGUGCCAAAUACAGUGCCAACCUCGCCUGAUCCUCUCGCCGCCUGCCCCUUUCACAGAAGAGCAGAGAAGUUCAGAGGUGCUGAGGUCCUGCCCAACAUCUCAGGGCCGCGGCGCCUGGGCUCUAACCAGCCCCUGGUGCUCCAGGCAGGAGUGGAGCAGCCCCCUGUCUGCUGUGGGGAAUGGUGGGGGAGGAAGCAGCCAGUAAACAGCCACCCAGGCCUCUCGGCACCUGCUGUCCCCUCCGCACAGCCGCUGGCCUCCCUCCCGCAGGGCGCCCUGCCCCUCCUGGCCACCCGCCUGUCAGGAGGCUGAUGGCUGGGCACACGUGCGGCCACAGCUGUGGGGGCCGUCAACACCGCCUGGCUGCAGGGCCGGUGGCCAGUCCCUGGUGACAUCCAAAGAAGGCGAACGUGGCGCGGCAUCCUGUGGGGUGCAGCCCAUCCAGACCAGGCUGCCCUUGGGCCAGCGUGGGUUGGGCACACCCAGAAGGGAGCAGGCAGGGAUGGGGCCAAGAGCUUCAAACGCCAGGCUGGCUCUGGGGACACGGGUCCAGGACACUGGGGACGCCCUGUCUGGACUUUCCAAAGCCCUCCCACGGAGGCGGCUACAUUUGAGCCACGAUACUCGAAUAAAACAGAAAUGGAUGCAGAGAGCCCCACUGAGGAGCUGGCGCCGGGCGCCGGGCGCUGGACGGGCACUCAUACGAUGGACGGACAUGCCACAUUUCCUAAGGUGGAGAGGGUGGCCAGGAGACCUCUGGGCCAUCAUGCCACGGCGCAAGGAGUUGCCACAGCCAUCAUCCAACAAGGGCUUAUGGCCACCACCUGCGUGCUCGCGACACUCUGGAUCCCGAAGCCAGAACAGACAGUACCCUGCCGGCACCCGGAGCAGUCGGGGACUUCGUGUGGUUCCCUUUGGGCAGAACAGGGGCCUGUCCUUUUACUUCAGAGACUUGGAUAGCGACUCACUGCAGGGAGCCCCUUCUCAGUGCUCUACAGAUACUGAUGAGUCAUUCAUCCUCACGGAGACCCUCUGCGGCCGAUGCUACCAUCAGCCCAUUUUACCAGGAGGGACCAGGCUCGGAGAGGUGAAGUCAUCUACCCAAGGUCACACGGCGAGUGUGCCGCGUGCCGGGAUCUGAGCCACAACCUGGUGUUGCCCCCACAGGGCCAGGGCUCUUCAGGACUCCAAAGUUCCUGCUUGUCAUCAACAUGCUCGCCUCCUUUUAGGGCCCGGGGUACUGAAAACAGGCAGCAGGUCUGGGAUUCAAACCUGAGGUCGAACGGAGGCUGCAGGGGCAGGAGGCCCCGUGCCUGAGGAACACGCUGGGGAGCUGGUGGUGUCCUCCCCGCCGUUCUCCAGCUCCACCCUGGGUUGUGCAGGGGCAGCUGUGCAGAUGACGGGACCUCACGGGUGUCUGUUGAAUCCUGUUUGAGUGCUCCUGGCCGUGUGGCCUAGGGAGAGCCUCUUCCCCUCUCUGAGCCCCACUCUCCUCCUCUGUACAUGUGGAGGAAGCCAGGUGACAGAUGAGGAAGGGGAGGUCCCCACGCCCUGCCUGGCACUCAAGAAAACCAGGCCACGGUUCAUGGAGCAACUUGUGGCCGGGACCUGCUCCUGGGGCUGCCCUGGCGCAGACUCCACCCGAGAAAGCAGGAAGUGACAAGGACCCUCAGAGAAGAUGAGGGGGUCUGGGCAUGCAGGAGCUGGUCAAAGAUGCCUAAAGGAAGAAGACAGGGAGAGGGUGCCGGCUCCUCCCCCAGCCCUGGCUGCAGCCUCAUCUGCCUCCCAAGCUCCCACUCAUCGAGAAAAUUCCCAGACCUACUGGACGUGGUGACUCACACCUGUCAUCCCAGCACUCGGGGAGGCCGAGAAUCACAUGGGUCCCACAGCUUCCUCUGGGAAAAGCACAGAUGUGCAAAGAGGAGACCCUGAGAGUCAUCCGUCCACGGCCGCCCUCCGACCUCCUCACGGUACUGGAGAUGGACGACCCCGCACCCAUGCUGUCCCCGAGAGGUGAGGUCACCUGAGGUCACUGGCCACGGCCAUGCAGCUAGUGAGAGGUAGGGCCGGGAAUGGAGCCCCAGCCUCUGAAUUCCAGCCUCUACUUGGCCGGGCAGCCAUCCAGUGCAGUGAGCCCAGGCCAAGGUAAACUCGUACACUUGGCUUUCUGGAGAGCCAGAGGGGCAAGCCACCGUCCACCACACAUUUCCCAAGAGCAGUACACGGUGGCUCCCCGGCCCCUUGGCCAGUGCCAGAGUGGCCCGGCUGUUCCUCGCUUGGUGCCUGGCUGUCCCCUCCGGCCUCACCAGCUGUCCCCUCUGGCCUCACCACCCGCACUACCCCCACGCCCACCUGUGCUGGGCCUAGGUCACUGGCUGCACCUGCCCCAGGGCCUUUGCAUGGCGGUGUCUCUGCAGGGAAUGCACUUCCCCCAGGUCCCCGCAAGUCUGCCUCUUAUCCUCACGCCUUUGCCCCAGGCUGCCUGCUUCCCGGUGAUGCUGCAGCCCACGCAGUCCUUGCCCUGGCUCCCCUCCUGUCACCAUCUCUCCCUGUAGCUCUUCCGGUGAGCCCACCUGCCUGUCCUGCUCCUUUUUUUCUCUUGUGGAUGCUCCCGGUGAGCUCCAGGAGGGCAGAGCUUCCUCGGCAUUGGUCACAGCCUACACCAGUGUCACACUGCAGGCACUCCGCAAACACUUGCUGCGUGGUGACCAAGAAAACCCGGAAAGGCACAGCCCACUGAGGACCGGACAGUCCCAGCCUCAGUGUCCUCCGGAGCCGCCGUUAUCCAAAGGCCUGGGGACGGGCAAUGCCCUCCCACCUCAGGAACAGCUGUGGGGAACAGAGCUGGCUUUUCUGUCUCCUGAUCUGGCCUCAGUUCUCUCAUCUGUGAAAUGGGAAUAGGGAUGGAAUUCACCCCGCAGAAUCACGGAGGGACGAAGUGCAUGAGCUCAUGAAAAGCGUCUAGAACAGAGUGCCUGCCACUCGUCCCAGCCACCCAGCUGUCAUGCUUCAGGCCGUCUGUCCGGCCACAACGGCCUCGUGGAGCUGGCCCAGGUGGGGCUUGCCUUUGGCACUGUGCCCACAGCUGGCCUGGGUGACAGUGAGCAUCAGUGCUGGGGAAGGGGACCAACCGGAGAGGCUCUGGGGCACAGUGAAGACCCCCUCCCCCCUCACAGCCGUGUGGAGGAAGCUUUGUUGCCCAGAGUUGGCUGGCAGCACCCGGACUGCCUGCCGGCUGCCAUCACCACCAUGAACGGCUGGCCUGGGUGCAGAGGUCCCUUCUGUCACAGAUGUGCUGCUAAACCGUAUCAGACAAAAAUCUCACUGAAACUCCCCUCCAGACCCCAGCCCAGGGCUCUCCGUUGAAAGGGAGGGCACAGGCCGGCCUCUGUCUGCAGGCUGGGCCCACCCACGCCUUCUGCACCCUCUGUGUGGCUCCAGGUGGACCUGGCCUUGCCUCUUCCUUUCCCAAGGAGAGAAGGAGCCUCCCUCAUGGGUUUUUGAGGACCAAGGAGCCUCCCUGGAUAGCUGCACGCUGCAAGUGAACUCAGGGUUUGCCAAAGAAAUGCGGAAGGUGGGACAAAGUGUGCUGGGUGUCCUGGGGCCAGAUGGGGACAGGUGGGCUGGGGGUCUCUCCGCCAGUCUUGGCCAGCCAUGCCAUCUGCGCUUCCGUCCCUCCCGCCGGCCUCAGGGCCUUGACUCUGGCUGGAAUUCUUCCCCGAUCUCUGCAUAGCCGUCUCCUCAUCAUUCAGGUCCUGGCGCAAAUGUCCCUCCUCAGAGAAGCCUUCCCUGACCGCCCCCACAUCCCCGCCUCCGCACUCUCUGCCACGUCACCCAUUUUUCUUCUUCAGCCACUCAUCAGUGUCUGAAGCCUCCAUCUGUGUUGGUCCUCAUGUUUACGCCCGUCUCCCCCAGGGCAGGGCCCUGAAUAGCACCUGGCACAUGGCAGGGCCCCGUAAAGGUUUGCUGACUGGCCCAUAAGGGCAAAGCCCCCAUGUGCCUCCCCUGGCGGCCCCGUCCUCUGCAGGUUCAACAGGGUGGCUCGCUGCUGCAGGACAGAGCCUGGGCUGCGCUUGAAUCGAGGCCUGCCCCCUCCGCCGUGUGAGCCCAGCAGGCAGCUCCCCUCAUCCAUUAAGUGGGAGAGCACCCCUCCCGGGGGGGUGUCUGAGGACUAAGGAGCUACUUGAGUCUGUUCUGCAGCAGGAGCUCAGGGAAUGCUGGUCAUGGCUAUUCAGGGCCCUCUCCACAAGGCGGGUUUCCUGCUAACGGCCUCGAUUUCCCACCCUGCCAAACCCCUAUCCUUUUGAUGUGAUUGCAGCUCUUCCUGUGGAGAGGUGGGGUCCACUUCCCUGCCCCCUGGAUGUGGGCUGGCUGGGGGACUUGCUUUGGCUGGGGGCAGGAUGUGGCACAAGGGAUGUCAGACACCCUGAGCCUGGAUGUCAGCGGCGGGCAGCCCCACUAGCCCUCUGUGGAGCCCCCACGUGAACACGCUCAGGAUGAGACACACGCAGGACAGGGUUGGCCCAGCUACUUGGUGGAGCUGGACUGACCCAUGGCUGACCACAGAGCAGCCAACAGCAAACCCAGCCAUGCCGAGAAGCACCACCCCACUGAGCUUGCCAAAACUGCCAACCUAAAGAACUGUGAGCCAAAGAAUGGUGGUUGCUUUGAGGGUAGCUUGUUACACGGCGAUAGCUGACUGAUACACAUGAGUACUUAGAAUCUCAACAUAUCAGAGCUGCAAAGGACCUGAGAGACCAACACUGAAAUUUCACAGAUGGUGAUGGGGACACUGGGAAGCUGGAGAAGAGAAGUGACCCAUCUCAUCUCUAGCCAAACCAGGCCUCAGACGCCAAUGCUGCGCUUGCCCUCCGCUACUCCGCACUCAUUCCUCCAUGGUGGGGUCUCAACUGGGACCAGCAAUUCCACCCUCAGAAAUGCAUUCUUAGGAAAUAUGCACAAACGGUGAUCUACAGGGAUGUUCAUCACAGCAUCGUUUAUGAGAAUGACAAAUGGAAUAAAUAUGAUGACUCCUCAGAGACGCCCACCACCACGUCCGGCUAAUUUUUUGUAUUUUUAGUAGAGACGGGGUUUCACCGUGUUAGCCAG
This is a long non-coding RNA of Cercocebus atys (sooty mangabey), 6578 nucleotides long. RefSeq lists it as uncharacterized. The transcript has 4 exons. The record is from RefSeq and is a predicted model, not a curated record. Lineage: Eukaryota; Metazoa; Chordata; Mammalia; Primates; Cercopithecidae.